GUAGGUGAACCUGCGGAAGGAUCAUUACAGUAGUCACCCGGGGCGCCGCAAGGCCUCCCGGGUAACCUACCACCCUUUGUUUAUCACACUUUGUUGUUUUGGCAGGCCUGUCCUCGGGCUGUUGGCUCCGGCCGGCGAGCGCUUGCCAGAGGACCUAAACUCUGUUUGUCUAUACUGUCUGAGUACUAUAUAAUAGUUAAAACUUUCAACAACGGAUCUCUUGGUUCUG
This 229-nucleotide unclassified non-coding RNA is filed under the name rhizosphere metagenome. RNAcentral describes it as "partial ribosomal RNA internal transcribed spacer region". The record is from RNAcentral.